UGGGGGAUAUUGCACAAUGGGGGGAACCCUGAUGCAGCGACGCCGCGUGAGGGAAGAAGGUUUUCGGAUUGUAAACCUCUGUCUUUGGUGACGAGAGUGACGGUAGCCAAGGAGGAAGCCACGGCUAACUACGUGCCAGCAGCCGCGGUAAUACGUAGGUGGCAAGCGUUGUCCGGAAUUACUGGGUGUAAAGGGAGCGUAGGCGGGAGAUCAAGUUGGACGUUAAAUUCAUCGGCUCAACCGGUGCAAGCGUUCAAAACUGGUUUUCUUGAGUGGAGUAGAGGUAAGCGGAAUUCCUAGUGU
RNAcentral lists this ribosomal RNA (303 nucleotides) under uncultured bacterium. Its description in RNAcentral is "bacterial SSU rRNA". It matches the Rfam family "Bacterial small subunit ribosomal RNA", at positions 355 to 676 of the family's 1533-position model. The record is from RNAcentral.